This 478-nucleotide ribosomal RNA is filed under the name uncultured bacterium. Its description in RNAcentral is "partial 16S ribosomal RNA". It matches the Rfam family "Bacterial small subunit ribosomal RNA", at positions 28 to 523 of the family's 1533-position model. The record is from RNAcentral.
GACGAACGCUGGCGGCGUGCUUAACACAUGCAAGUCGAACGGUAAGGCCCUUCGGGGUACACGAGUGGCGAACGGGUGAGUAACACGUGGGUGAUCUGCCCUGCACUUCGGGAUAAGCCUGGGAAACUGGGUCUAAUACCGGAUAGGACUCCUGGCUUCAUGGGUGGGGGUGGAAAGCUUUUGCGGUGUGGGAUGGGCCCGCGGCCUAUCAGCUUGUGGGUGGGGUAAUGGCCUACCAAGGCGACGACGGGUAGCCGGCCUGAGAGGGUGACCGGUCACACUGGGACUGAGAUACGGCCCAGACUCCUACGGGAGGCAGCAGUGGGGAAUAUUGCACAAUGGGCGCAAGCCUGAUGCAGCGACGCCGCGUGAGGGAUGACGGCCUUCGGGUUGUAAACCUCUUUCAGCUAUGACGAAGCGCAAGUGACGGUAGUAGCAGAAGAAGGACCGGCCAACUACGUGCCAGCAGCCGCGGUAA